Felis catus (domestic cat) is the source of this 5055-nucleotide long non-coding RNA. RefSeq lists it as uncharacterized. NCBI's taxonomy places the organism in Eukaryota, Metazoa, Chordata, Mammalia, Carnivora, Felidae. The record is from RefSeq and is a predicted model, not a curated record. The transcript has 3 exons.
UCUCUUUAAUCGUCAGUGACUUGAGCUCUUACCUCUGCCCUUUCACCUCCUGCUGCUUUCUUAUCUUGUGUCAAUCAGGGCCCAGUCUGGAAACUAAUGGUGUAUCUAAUCUGACUGUUUAGGAAAACUUUCAUGAAUAAACAACUGACAAACGUUAAGUUCACAGAAGACCAUUGUUAAACUCCAAAAGUUUCUCUACAUGCAGAGUUUCUGUAGGAGUUCCUAGUUCAAAUUCCACACUGCACACAGAGCUGGAGCUUAUGAAGGGAUGGCCAAGUCCUGGAUGUAACUUCUGAAACCACCUAAAGCAUUCUUGGGAAUAUGUUGGGCUGUGAGGUCUGGGGAGCAAGUGAAGUCCUGAGUGUGCAGAAGUGCAUGGGACAAUCUUGAUAAUGCACCAGGGCCACUUCUGUCUGAUUGAAGUGGCUUUGAAGAAAGGGACAGGACCACGAUGCAAGUUGGUGACUCCCCCGUCCUGGUCCAUCCCUCCCUCCACACACACCCCAUCCAAACCCUGACUUACUUGGUCCAAUCUUAAGAAGGAAAGUACUGAGAGGGAAGGAAGAGACUUCAUGUUUUUUCCUGAUUCACUAAUGAUGUUGUCAAAGGCUCUGGGUGAGAUACUUAAUUUCUCUGUCUCCUGGUUUGCUGUCUGUAAAAGGGUGACCCUAAUGCCAGGUUCCUGUGGGGACUGUGACAGACCGCAUUACAAAAGAGGCUCUCUUGGAUACUUCAGUCCCCACCCUUAGAGUUCAGUUUCUUCAUCUGUAAAACAAAGCAAUGGACUAGAAGUUCUCAGGUUCCGCCCAGCUCUCUCCUUCUGUAUUCUCUCAGGGGGAGGAGGUAAAAAGGGAAUGGGGGAAGAGAACUUUGAACUAAACCGGAUGACAGGACUGCUCUUCCAGAAGAGGCACAGUGCUGUGCAAGCAGCAUCUGUGAGGUAUGCCUCAGUUCUCCUUCCAAACUUGUUUUUCCCAGGGGUUUCCUGAGGCCUCUCAAGCAGGCUCUCGAAACUGACCUGAAAUAUUCACAACUUGAACCAUCAGGAAGGAUUACUUUGAUUCUGUCUGAAAUCUUCCCUGCAUUUGGUAAGACAGAACAAAGAAAGAAAAAAAAAUUACUGAAGGAAAUGAAUAGGAUAGUAUUAUCUAUAAAAGACAAUUUGGAAACUAGAUGAAGAUACAAGGGGUCUGUUUUACUAUUGUCACUACCUAUAUGGAUAUUUGAAAAGCCUCCUAAUAAAAUGGUUUCUUGAAAGAAUAUCUGAAAAUCUGUAGCUGUAAACCAGUAAUUUUCAAAUGCUCUUUUUCACCAUGAUAGACACACACACACACACACACACACACACACACACACAAACCCACAUUUAUGUUGCAAUCCAGUACAUAAACAUAUAGACUAAAACCAAGUUCCACAAAACAUUAUUCACCCUCACCAUGCACCACACCAUACACAACAUACCCUGAUGUUUUCUAUUUUCUGCCCUGCUUCUUUAAAAAAAUGUUGGUUGGAACCUACUCAACUCAUUUCAAGAAUCAUUUAAUGGCUCGUGACCUACAGUUUGAAAAACACAGUUCCAAACAGUAUCAACUCAUUCUGGUGGGCAAUUGAAUACUUGCCUGCUGGCCUGGGCCAGCAGGAGAGUAAUGACUAUUUGGAGAGGGAUUGAAACAGAAUGAGCAGUUAUGGAUAUUUGCCCAGCCUUCUUGGAAAAGCCUGACCCUGGUCUGGUGAUGGGGGCAUCAUCAGGGCUUAGCAAAAUGAGAGCGUUUCAUAAGCUACCAUUUCUGUGUACAUGGCCCACUUGCCCAACUUUUCUUACACGGGCUUAUUUGCUUCUAGAAUCUGUCCUGCCAACCCGCAGCCAUGGCCUGCUGCUUCUUCCCCACUCGCCUCCCAUUUCUGCCUUCUCAGAGGCACAAACCAGUCCUCAGGCAUGUUUCCAAUUUGCUGGGGAUUAUGAAUUUAUAUCCUGUCCUCUCUUUCCUCUUCUCUUCCCCCCAAAUGGUGACUGUCCCCCCAAGCCCAGGGUCAUUAACAAAAGCAACAUCUUCAAAGAGAAGGGAUGAGGACAUGACUGAGAUUCGCUCAGUACUUAAAUCCCAUUGAAGUACCCAGGUCAGGCCUGGCAAGCAGGGGACAGACAGCCUGCAUCUGGAAAAGAGAAGGUUUAGGGCACAUUUGACUUCAAUAUUUAAAAACCAAGGGCCCAGCUGUUCAGUUCUUCAACAAAUAGCACUAAAAUACCUCCUGUAGAGGAAGGAAAGAAUUUUAGGACAGAAUCAUUAAUUCAAAGGACAUCAAGAAAAUACAGAGUAGACAUCAUCCUGAUCUACUAUUUAAAAAGAUAACUUUAGGGAUGCAAUUUUACAAUGCUUUAUAAACAGGUCCACCAAUCCAGGAGUGUUAUAUAUGUGAAAUGUUUACUAACUGGAAACAAAUGUUUACAUUGGAUAAACUACCUCCUAAAAAGUCCAUUUCCUCUGUUCAUGCAAAUGUUGCUAUUUGUGCAGAGUGGAAGGGCAUUUCCACUUCUCCUACCACAAAAGCUGUAUUUCUUUCAAUAUUAAGGUUAAUGAGGGCUGGGGCCCUGUAAUCUACAUGAGUAGGUUAAUUCUCAUGUGUCCUAGAUAGUUGAGAGAGAAAGAGAUUUAGAACUUUGGCUGAAGGGAGAUGCACACACUGCCUGCAGUGAAUGCAUGCAAAGAAGCAAAGAACACUCUGUAGAAGGAUCUCUAUACCUCAGCUCCUCCAUCUACAAGGCAGAGAUGCUGAAUGUGACCCCAUACUCCCCUGUGCAUGAAUGAGAAGUUCCAGUUCAAAGGAGGCACUGCUCAUUCUAAUCCUGUGGGGACCCAAGCUGAUGGAGGCUUCAAUUCGUCAUGUGACUAUUGUACUAGAUUUUCAAUUCCUUGUAUCAUGCUUCUUUCUCUUAAGAGUUUGAAUAUAUAUUUUAUAUUUUAUGUCCUCCCUAUUAAGAUUUAUAUUUGGAGUAAACACUCAUCAAGUUCUUCCUGCUGAAAUGCUCAUCCCUACCAACCUACGGUUUUCUUUUUAAAAACUGGAAUCCUCAUACUCUAUUUCAGUGAUGGAGCUCCCUUUUAUGUAUUAACAUCAAACCAGUUAUUAUAACACAAUGGAAUUGACACUAGAGUAGUGGGUAUAAAGGAGACUAUGGCUACCCUUUACUGUAAGAUUUAAACACAUUUAAAAUAAGUUGCUUUAACUUGAGAGGAGGCUCAAUGUGGUAUGAAAAGUGCUUCCUACACUGAGAAUUCAGGAAGCCAGUUUAGAUUUUAUGAAAAGGCCCUGUAAUGUAGGGCCAUGGUGAUUAUUAAUUGAACUCUUUGAACCCUAUAUCCCGAAGUCAUGACGUUAUUUAGGUCCCUCUCUCCUUUGGCAUGUGAAGGUUUACAUUCUCAGCCUUUGGAGUAUGUGCUGCCUAAACUGUCUAGCUGCUCUUGGACUGUUGAGUUAUUCAGUAAGGAUCUCUGCUCACUAGGCCAUUCUGGAUCCAAAUGCCAGAAUUCACCUUCUUUAAAUAUCAUUCAGUGGAUCACUUCACCUCUCAGAAAACAUACCAGCAGAAAACACACAUGCUGUCAUAUCAAAUCCAAAUUCCCACACCUGUUUUUCAAUUCUUAUGCACAUACAUACAAACACGUGUGUGCGUAUAAUGUGUAAUAUAUAUCACAUACACUGUAUAUAAAUAAAUAUAUGUAAAUGUAAAAAUAUUAAUGGUAAUGAUUAUAGAGCAUUAACUAAGGUCCUACUAUGUGUCAAGGUCUGAGCAUGGUAUCAACUUUAUUCCAUUUAAUCUUCACAGCAACUUUGAAGGGCGGUUCUAGCGUCAUCUGUGUUUUAUAGGCAAGGACACUGCUCUCCUGUGUCUCCAAAACCCAUGCCCUAGCCCUCAUCCUACUGGGUCCCAAUCAAGCGGAUUGUUGCCUCCCCACCACACACUCUCUGAGUCAGGUCUCCCCACCACUUUCAUGUCCCUCAAACCACUCUCUGCCCAUUCAGUCUCCCUCCCAUUCUCCCAAACCCUUACCACUUUUCAAGACUCAAGGCAAACCCCAUCUUUAGGUAACGCCCUCUCUCCCAUGUAGGACUGGAGCUGCAUUUAAAUUACCUUGAAAUUUUAAUUUCCUUGAAAACACCUAGCCCAGCCAAGCCAUCAGUCUGGGUAGCCUCAAUGGCUGCUCCCUCUUCUUGCCUGCCUCAUCCAGCCCACCGCACACCCUGUCAUUGCUGCUUAUGAAACCCAUCUUGACCCUAUCUACACUUCUCCCCAUCUUCACAGAUUCCUCCAGAUCCAAGACCUAGCAUCUCCUGCCCGCAUCAAUGUAAGAGCUCCUAGAUUUUAUGUGCCUUCACUCUUGUUUCUCCAGUCCAGUCCCCACAAGGUACCUAGAAUAAGGUUUUAAAAUAUGUUUUAUAUUUGUAAGCUUAAAACCCUUUAACAUCAUUCUGUUACCUUUAGAAUAGAAGCCAAACUUUAUCAUGGUCCAGAGGCCCUGUAUAAUGGGUGUUAUGACCACCUCUCCAGUGGCACUUAAUCUACCAACCCCUUCAUCCCUCAUCACAUUCAUCCACUAGGUUCCUCUCACUUCUUUCAACACAGUAAACUCUUCCACAUCUGGGUCUUUACAGAUGCUAUUUCUACUGCCGACUUUUCCCAUUCUUCAGAACUCAGAUUUAAUGUUGCCUUUACAAAGAGGCUUUCCCUGACAGUCUUACCUAAUUGGAAUCUUCCUCUCUACUAGAAUCCCCAUUCACUGCACUCUGCUAUUUCCUCCUUGGGCUGAGAUCAAGUUCUAUCUAUGUAUAUGUAGAUUUGGACAUUUGUUCUUCCCCCAGCGCCACCCCAACACAUAAACACACUGGACCACUGAAAUGUAAGCCACAUGAGUAUUCUGGCCAUGUCUGCUUUGUCCCCAGCACUCAGUACAAAGAUCCCAAUAAGCAUAUGUUGGCUUAAUCAAUCAAUCAAACAAAGAAUCAAUUCUUCCAACUAGAUUUAAACUAUUUGACAGGAUAAUUUUCUUUUUCUCC